GCAGUUUAGAAAGUGAAGAGGAAAAACGCCGGCGCACCCACACACGCACUCACACACACUCAAACUGCGUUCUCUCUUCUUUUCCUCUCUUUGGCGCCUCCUCCUAUCUGUAUCCUCUCCGGAGCCCAACCACGUUGGGCAUCGGUUGCUUUGGUAGGUGCUGGAGGCAACGUGGCUACAGUUCGUGACAAUUGGGAGAGACUGGUUCGAGCGACGUUGAAGAGGGAGCAGCUGAGAACCGCCGGCCAUGAUCAUGGGACCAAAACCCCAAAUCCUCAAUCAACUGUGUCGUGCAAAGGCCAGAAAGCGUUGAUCUGUUCCUACUAGUCAACUUCUCUCCCCUCUCAGUCACAGACAGAUCUCUCUCCCUCUACUUCUCCGGUGAUCUUAAACUCUUCAAUAAUGCCAGAGUACGCCACCGAGUUGAAGUCUCAGAAUGUGACAGUUUUGGCGAAGGUGGAUGCAACGGUGGAGAAUGAAUUGGCACAUGAGUGCUAUAUUCAGGGAUUCCCCAAAGCUUUAUACUGGUCAAAGAACCAUGUCAUAUGAUGCUUUGCAAGGAAGCCCUGUCACAGCUCAGUUGAUCCCAGCCCUUGGUGUCAUUACCAUCUUCAGAAGCUUACCAUCUGGGUCAUCUGGUUCCGUUCAUGUUUACAAAGUAUUUGCAAGAUGCCUUUAAGGUUCCUCUUAUUAUACAACUCACAGAUGAUGAGAAGUUCUUGUGAAAAAAUCUCAGCAAAGAGGAGAGCCAAAGAGUUGCACGAGAAAAUGCUAAGGAUAUUAUUGCUACAGUUUUGAUAUUGCAAGACUUUCAUUUCUUCUGAUUUUGAUUUUGUUGGCGGGUGAGUGAGACAGGAAUGUAGCUUUGGCCUGAUGAUAUAUUUUCAAGUAUGCUUUCACAAAUUUAAGAUGUUUUAUCCAAUUUAAUAUUACCUAUGGUUUUAGGAAUUUCAUUGGAUAUGAAUCUAUAUGAAUUAUGGAAUCUUGCUGCCAUUGAGUAACUGAUUUUGACCAAAAAAUUGACAAUGCUUAAAUGAUAUUGAAUCUUCUGGGAGCAUCUUGGAAAUUGAAAUGAAAACGAAGACUUUUGCACUUUUCUCAUCAUUUAUAGUUUUUGACAUCUCAAGUGCAAUUUUGCGGUCAGUUGAUCUUUAUAGAAUGUGUGAAGGUGAAAAUCAUUGGUGUAGGAAAUCCAUUUGCACUUUAUAGAUGUUCAAUGCUUACUCCCCUUCUUCCUGUGGUUGUCUUUUCAAGCCUCUGAAAGGUUUCGUUUAGCUGUAAUUAUCUUUGUGUUGCCUUUUGAUCUGGUUGUUGGUAUUCUUCAUUUCAAGUUGUCCACUUGCUAAUUUUGAUGUAAAAGUUUUUCCAUAUCAGCAGAAUUUCCACCACAAUCUGAUGUUUCUUGAUUUGUCUGGAACACUGAACUUAAUGUGUACUAGGGCGCGCGCGUGUGGAUGUCUUUGUUGAGGCAGAAAAUGUGGUCAAAAAGCAAUUUGCAUGCUGUUCCGUCAUUUCCCAGUUCAAUUCCUCACCUUUUUUCUGGCAAAGAGAAUCUCCGUUGCUUGAUUCCUUGUGCAAUUGACCAGGUGUGGCAAUAUCGAUUUGGCAAAGUGGACGAACUGCAAUAUUUGCAAUACAAAUAAGCCAUGUCACAGUGUGAGGGUGUUGUAAGGUAUUAUCUAUAAUUCUUUUGGUAUUUUCGUACUGCUAGCUGACAUCAGGAAACAGAAUCUGUGCUUGUGAGGUUAGUGAAGUUCUGAUUCGAUAUUCUCUUUGUACUGUAUAUUAUAUACUGUUUUCUAAUCAGUAAAAAUAAAUAUGGGCUUUGUUUA
Long non-coding RNA from Prosopis cineraria, 1832 nucleotides. RefSeq lists it as uncharacterized. The record is from RefSeq and is a predicted model, not a curated record. The transcript is spliced from 5 exons. Lineage: Eukaryota; Viridiplantae; Streptophyta; Magnoliopsida; Fabales; Fabaceae.